This 96-nucleotide non-coding RNA is filed under the name Burkholderia sp. WP9. Lineage: Bacteria; Pseudomonadati; Pseudomonadota; Betaproteobacteria; Burkholderiales; Burkholderiaceae. The record is from RNAcentral.
UCCAAUGGGCGGGCCUUGGCGGGGGAGCCUCGCGGCUCGCCGGUUCUGGUACUGCGCGCCGGUCUGUUAACCCCGUCAAUGUGCCCGCUCACCCAA